GUAGGUGGCAAGCGUUGUCCGGAAUUAUUGGGCGUAAAGCGCGCGCAGGCGGUUCUUUAAGUCUGAUGUGAAAGCCCACGGCUCAACCGUGGAGGGUCAUUGGAAACUGGAGAACUUGAGUACAGAAGAGGAAAGCGGAAUUCCACGUGUAGCGGUGAAAUGCGUAGAGAUGUGGAGGAACACCAGUGGCGAAGGCGGCUUUCUGGUCUGUAACUGACGCUGAGGCGCGAAAGCGUGGGGAGCAAACAGGGAUUAGAUACCCUGGUAGUCCACGCCGUAAACGAUGAGUGCUAAGUGUUAGGGGGGUUUCCGCCCCCUUAGUGCUGCAGCUAGCGCAUUAAGCACUCCGCCUGGGAUACGGCCGCAAGGCUG
This 372-nucleotide ribosomal RNA is filed under the name uncultured organism. Its description in RNAcentral is "partial 16S ribosomal RNA". It matches the Rfam family "Bacterial small subunit ribosomal RNA", at positions 527 to 896 of the family's 1533-position model. The record is from RNAcentral.